This 499-nucleotide ribosomal RNA is filed under the name Halomonas caseinilytica. RNAcentral describes it as "bacterial SSU rRNA". It matches the Rfam family "Bacterial small subunit ribosomal RNA", at positions 41 to 535 of the family's 1533-position model. The record is from RNAcentral. Lineage: Bacteria; Pseudomonadati; Pseudomonadota; Gammaproteobacteria; Oceanospirillales; Halomonadaceae.
GGCGGCCUACCAUGCAAGUCGAGCGGAAACGAUCCUAGCUUGCUAGGAGGCGUCGAGCGGCGGACGGGUGAGUAAUGCAUAGGAAUCUGCCCGGUAGUGGGGGAUAACCUGAGGAAACUCAGGCUAAUACCGCAUACGUCCUACGGGAGAAAGCAGGGGCUCUUCGGACCUUGCGCUAUCGGAUGAGCUUAUGUCGGAUUAGCUGGUUGGUGAGGUAACGGCUCACCAAGGCGACGAUCCGUAGCUGGUCUGAGAGGAUGAUCAGCCACAUCGGGACUGAGACACGGCCCGAACUCCUACGGGAGGCAGCAGUGGGGAAUAUUGGACAAUGGGGGCAACCCUGAUCCAGCCAUGCCGCGUGUGUGAAGAAGGCCCUCGGGUUGUAAAGCACUUUCAGUGAGGAAGAAGGCUUGUCGGUUAAUACCCGGCAAGAAAGACUCACUCACAGAACACCCACCUGCUAACUCCGUGCCAAGAUCCUCGCUAAUACGUAGAGUGC